RNAcentral lists this ribosomal RNA (253 nucleotides) under uncultured bacterium. RNAcentral's name for it is "partial 16S ribosomal RNA". It matches the Rfam family "Bacterial small subunit ribosomal RNA", at positions 524 to 776 of the family's 1533-position model. The record is from RNAcentral.
UACGUAGGCAGCAAGCGUUAUUCGGAUUCACUGGGCGUAAAGGGUGCGCAGGCGGCCGUGUGUGUGAGGCGUGAAAGCCCGGGGCUUAACCCCGGAAUUGCACCUCAAACUACACGGCUAGAGCAUUGGAGAGGGUAGCAGAAUUCACGGUGUAGCAGUGAAAUGCGUAGAUAUCGUGAGGAAUACCAGAGGCGAAGGCGGCUACCUGGACAAUUGCUGACGCUCAGGCACGAAAGCGUGGGGAGCAAACAGG